AGCUCUGUAGUGAUUUUACGUCAAAUUGCAAGUUUGAAGAUGAGCCAUAAAGGCU
RNAcentral lists this transfer RNA (55 nucleotides) under Anolis pumilus (Cuban spiny-plant anole). RNAcentral describes it as "tRNA-Cys". Lineage: Eukaryota; Metazoa; Chordata; Lepidosauria; Squamata; Anolidae. The record is from RNAcentral.